RNAcentral lists this ribosomal RNA (500 nucleotides) under uncultured bacterium. Its description in RNAcentral is "partial 16S ribosomal RNA". It matches the Rfam family "Bacterial small subunit ribosomal RNA", at positions 30 to 523 of the family's 1533-position model. The record is from RNAcentral.
AUUGAACGCUGGCGGCAUGCUUUACACAUGCAAGUCGAACGGUAACAGGGUGCUUGCACCGCUGACGAGUGGCGAACGGGUGAGUAAUGCGUCGGAACGUGCCGAGUAGUGGGGGAGAACGAAGCGAACGCUGUGCUAAUACCGCAUACGUACUGAGGUAGAAAGUGGGGGACCUUCUGGCCUCACGCUAUUCGAGCGGCCGGCGUCUGAUUAGCUAGUAGGUGAGGUACAGACUCGCCUAGUCGACGAUCAGUAGCGGGGCCGAGAGGAUGGUCCGCCACACUGGGACUGACACACGGCCCAGACUCCUACGGGGGGCAGCAGUGGGGAAUUUUGGACAAUGGGCGAAAGCCUGAUCCAGCCAUGCCGCGUGUCUGAAGAAGGCCUUCGGGUUGUAAAGGACUUUUGUCAGGGAGGAAAUCCCUAGUGCUAAUAACACUGGGGGAUGACAGUACCUGAAGAAUAAGCACCGGCUAACUACGUGCCAGCCGCCGCCGUAA